RNAcentral lists this transfer RNA (68 nucleotides) under Marmota monax (woodchuck). Its description in RNAcentral is "tRNA.Ala". Lineage: Eukaryota; Metazoa; Chordata; Mammalia; Rodentia; Sciuridae. The record is from RNAcentral.
GUUGUGGCUCAGUGGUAGAGCUCUUGCCCAGCACACGUGAGGCACUGGGUUUGAUACUCAGCACCACA